Molecule: ribosomal RNA, 426 nt
Filed under: uncultured bacterium
Lineage: Bacteria
Description: bacterial SSU rRNA
Rfam family: Bacterial small subunit ribosomal RNA
Source: RNAcentral
GAGUUUGAUCGUGGCUCAGGAUGAACGCUGGCGGCGUGCUUAACACAUGCAAGUCGAACGAAGCACUUAUCUUUGAUUCUUCGGAUGAAGAGGUUUGUGACUGAGUGGCGGACGGGUGAGUAACGCGUGGGUAACCUACCUCAUACAGGGGGAUAACAGUUAGAAAUGACUGCUAAUACCGCAUAAGACCACGGAGCCGCAUGGCUCAGUGGGAAAAACUCCGGUGGUAUGAGAUGGACCCCGCGUCUGAUUAGGUAGUUGGUGGGGUAACGGCCUACCAAGCCAACGAUCAGUAGCCGACCUGAGAGGGUGACCGGCCACAUUGGAACUGAGACACGGUCCAAACUCCUACGGGAGCAGCAGUGGGAAUAUUGCACAAUGGGGGAAACCCUGAUGCAGCAACGCCGCGUGAGUGAAGAAGUAUUU